Molecule: long non-coding RNA, 2026 nt
Filed under: Triticum aestivum (bread wheat)
Lineage: Eukaryota; Viridiplantae; Streptophyta; Magnoliopsida; Poales; Poaceae
Description: long non-coding RNA (TAES_LNC015261)
Source: RNAcentral
UCGAGCGGCGGAGGAGGGGGAGGCGAUUCCUUGUGUUCAUGGCGAUUUCGAGCUCAUCCACGGCAGGAUACUGACUUCUUCCUCUUGUUUCUCGUCGUCCGCGGCUGCUCUGGUUGGUUGUCCCCUCUCUCGCGCUCUUCUUGCCCGUGGUUUUCGUGCCCUUGUAAUUUCAGAUCUAGGUGAUUUCGCGUAUCCGCGGGCUGCGCAUGUUGCUGUCGCGGUGUCGCCUUUGGGGUGUGCGCGUGAAUUUCUGGUAGGAGCCUGCAGUGCGCCACGGGCAGUUUUCGCCGUGAUCCCGUGUGUUGUUGUUGUGGUCUCACACGAAAUCCCUCCCCCCCCCCUCCCCUGCGGUUGUUUGGUUCUCGUUGUUGAUGUGUAGGUAGGCGUAGAGGCUAGUUUUUCUGCAGUUGAUGUUGAGGUAGGCAUUGUAGGCGUUAGUUUUCAGCGGCGGAUCCGGUAGGCUUGUCCCUGAAUAGUUCCUGUUUGUAGCCCCAAAAUUUUGUCAUGUUAGUCUCGUUUUCUACCAUGUUGUUGUUCAUCCCGGAUGUUUUACUGAACAUCUCUAUGUAUUUUGCUCCUUUUGUUGUGCAUUUUCCUGAAUUUCGUGCUUAUUUUUCAGUGUUUUCUCCAUAAUAGGAAGUGUAUGUAAGAUCAAGGGUCUGCAGUGGUAUGCGCAUGAAGUUCUGCUGUGCAUUUUGUCUACCUUCAUCUCUGUGCAGUUGACCUAUAUGCAUCUCUAUGCUGUAGAACUUCACUGCUUGCUUAUGUGCCUCAUGUAGCUUUGCUGUACUUUCUUAUUUUUUAGUUAAUAUUGUACCCCUUGCAGUAUUUUGCCUAGUGUUUAUGUUGUCAUAGUUGAUGUGCAACUUGCUCCCUAAUUAGUGUGUGGGUAUUGUAUCCUUUGGCCUUUGUAAAUAUUGUAUCAUUUGGCCCUGUUCUAGUCUGUAAUACCCCUCUUGUUCUUCACUAUGCAUGUGUAGUAGCACUGCCUUCUUCUUAGUAUGAUUGAUAUUGUAUUUUUUCUUAAUUUCUAUUUGAUGUAUCUCUGACUUAGACUGUACUUCCCCUAGUUUUCUUUUGAUGCAGUUGUAUGCCCGAUGAAUUUUUGUAAUGUAUUUUCUGAAGUUCAGUGUAUUUCCCUGGAGUUUUACACUGUAAUUUGUGUGGGUGAGGAAUGUAAUUAACCAUAUGGCUUACACUGCAACUAAACAUAGGGCUUACACUGUAAAUUAGCAGAGUUUUCCACUUUAACUAACCAUAUGGCUUACACUGCAACUAACGAUAGGGCUUACACUGUAAAUUAGCAGAGUUUUCCACUGUAACUAACCAUAGGGCUUACACUGUAAAUUAGCAGAGUUUUCCACUGUAAUUAACCAUAGGGCUUACACUGUAAAGUAGCAGAGUUUUCCACUGUAAUUAACCAUAGGGCUUACACUGUAAAUUAGCAGAGUUUUCCACUGUAAUUAACCAUAGGGCUUACACUGUAAAUUAGCAGAGUUUUCCACUGUAUUUUGUGUUGAUGAGGACUGUAAUUUGUGGUUUGGCCUUAGCUUGUAUUUUUCAUAGGGCUUACGCCAUAAUUGAGUAGAGUUUUACACUAUAAUUUUUCUUGGUGAGGACUAUAUUUGUUGUAGGGUUUACAGUGUAAUUGUAAAGUGUAUUUUUCCUGUUGGGCUUACACCGUAAAUGAGUAGAGUUCUACAGUGUAAUUUGUGUGGGUUGGGACUGUAAUUGUACAAUGUAUUUUUCCUAUUGGGCUUAAUCUGUAAGUCACCAGAGUUUUUCUGUGUAAUUUGUGUGGGUUAGUACUAUAAUUGUUUCACUUAAUUUUCAACGUAAAUUCGGCGUGACUUGUCCUGAAUUAUUUCUGUAAUAUGACACAAAAUUACAGCGUAAUUUCACUUUAUUUUUUCAGUGGUGUUACAGUGUAAUUUCAUCCUUAAUUACUGUGUAGUGGCUCUGUAGUUAUCAUGCACUUUUACAGUGUAAUUUUACCCCUAAUUACAGUGUAUUUUUUGGCCAUAAU